Molecule: ribosomal RNA, 491 nt
Filed under: uncultured bacterium
Lineage: Bacteria
Description: partial 16S ribosomal RNA
Rfam family: Bacterial small subunit ribosomal RNA
Source: RNAcentral
AGUGAACGCUGGCGGUAGGCCUAACACAUGCAAGUCGAACGGCAGCACAGUAAGAGCUUGCUCUUACGGGUGGCGAGUGGCGGACGGGUGAGGAAUACAUCGGAAUCUACUUUUUCGUGGGGGAUAACGUAGGGAAACUUACGCUAAUACCGCAUACGACCUACGGGUGAAAGCAGGGGAUCUUCGGACCUUGCGCGAUUGAAUGAGCCGACGUCGGAUUAGCUAGUUGGCGGGGUAAAGGCCCACCAAGGCGACGAUCCGUAGCUGGUCUGAGAGGAUGAUCACCCAAACGGGAACUGAGAACGGGCCCAACCCCCUAAGGGGGGCAGGAGGGGGGAAUAUGGGAAAAGGGGCGAAAGCCUGAUCCAGCCAUACCGGGUGGGUGAAGAAGGCCUUCGGGUUGUAAAGCCCUUUUUUUGGGAAAAAAAAGCAGCAGGUUAAUACCCCGCUGUUCUGACGGUACCCAAAGAAUAAGCACCGGCUAACUUCGU